CUUGGAUUCCUCCGCUCGAGUCCGCGGUGGGGAGGUCGAGGGAGUCGCCAUUUUGGAUGCCGAGCGGCUCCUCGGAAGUCGGCUUCUUCCGUUUUCACGUCCGGAUCCCUCCAGGAGGAGCAGGACAACAUGCUGGGCUCUGGGUUCAAAGCUGAGCGCUUACGAGUCAAUUUGAGAUUAGUUAUAAAUCGUCUCAAACUGUUGGAGAAAAAAAAAACGGAACUGGCUCAGAAGGCAAGGAAGGAGAUUGCUGACUACCUGGCCGCCGGAAAGGAUGAGCGAGCACGCAUCCGUGUGGAGCACAUAAUCCGGGAGGACUACCUCGUGGAGGCCAUGGAGAUCCUGGAGCUGUAUUGUGACCUGCUGCUGGCGCGCUUUGGCCUUAUCCAGUCUAUGAAGGAGCUAGAUUCUGGUCUAGCUGAAUCCGUGUCUACACUGAUCUGGGCUGCGCCUCGGCUUCAGUCAGAAGUGGCUGAGUUGAAAAUAGUUGCCGAUCAGCUCUGUGCCAAAUACAGCAAGGAAUAUGGCAAGUUGUGCAGGACCAACCAGAUCGGGACUGUGAAUGAUAGGCUAAUGCACAAACUGAGCGUAGAAGCCCCACCCAAAAUCCUAGUGGAGAGAUACCUGAUUGAAAUUGCCAAGAAUUACAAUGUACCCUACGAACCUGACUCUGUGGUCAUGGCAGAAGCUCCUGUUGGGGUGGAGACAGAUCUUAUUGAUGUUGGAUUUACGGACGAUGUGAAGAAAGGUGGUCCUGGAAGAGGAGGAGGGGGCGGGUUCACAGCCCCCGUUGGGGGACCUGAUGGGAUUGUGCCCAUGCCCAUGCCUAUGCCCAUGCCAUCUCCAAAUGCUCCCUUCGCAUACCCACUGCCAAAGGGACCAUCGGAUUUCAGUGGAUUGCCAGUGGGGACUUACCAGGCCUUUCCUAACAUUCACCCACCUCAGAUACCAGCAACUCCCCCAUCCUAUGAAUCUGUAAGUGCCUGAGCCUUUUGGUAAACGGCAGGAGAGUGAAUCCCAUGAAGAGAGCAAAAUAAUGACAACAGGGAAGGCAAACUUUUGAUAAACUUAGUAUGGGUUUGGUCUUGCUUCUGGAUUCUUUGUUGCUUUCAUCCCGCCCUGGAGAUGGGGGGUGCUGCUGGUGGCAUUUGUGGUGGGCAUGCUGUGUCAGCACUGAAGCCAGGGAGCAGGAAGGAGCUGCACUAAGGAAGUUAUUAAAUGCUCUCAUGGGCAUGGUGGCACAUGCCUACAGUCUCAGCACUUCAAGUCAGCCUGGACUACAUGAGCCCAUCUAAAACAGUAAAGGGAAGUAGUGCCUCUAAGAGAGCACUUCAUGUGGAGACACGCGUCUUACUAAACCAGUCUGAGGAUUACACUGAGCUGCUGUAAUUUGAUACUAUAUUUAUUAGAGCACCAGGCUUUCUGUCUUUUAAGUUCACAACAUUCAUGGCAAAGGAUAGUAAUGGGGUGUUUGACUUAACCAAGUGUCCAUAGUUAGUUACUUUUGGCCUGUAGCAUUUAGUCCACAUUUUAUUCUUGUAGUUAAAACUUAAAAUAGAGCAACCCUGUGGCAGUUUGGGAGCUAAAGUAGAUAGAUCACCCACAAGACUUUGUAGUUGAGCGGUGGGGUGCGCGUCUGCUGUGUGGGAGGCCCUAGGCACAGCUCGCAGCGCUUGCAUACAUUUUCAUAAAUGGCUCAUGGGGUAAGGAUGCCUUCAACUGUGUCUCUGCUUCAGAAUUACUUGUUUUCUGCGAGUCUUGCAUAUACAUACAUGACUCAUACAUGCAUACAUGCCUUCAGAGCUGUUUCCAGCUCAUGGUUUGCUUAGAAAACAAGUUGGUGUGGGAUGUGCUAUGUAAAUUACUCACUAGGAAGCUCUCCCAGAUCCUGAGUUUGCUUAUCAUUCUUCCCGUUGGUUUCCAUCUCUAGUUGAUGUGUUUUCUCCUGGAACUGAGUCUUUCUCAAGCUUUAGCAUUCCAUGUAUCAAAACACUGUUUGUGGAAUGAGGUGGAUCUUCAGUCCUUGAGGCCUUGGUUCUGGUAGAUUUCCUAGUUUGCUUUGCCUGGAAGCUGAAAAGUGUCACAGUGUGGUUGAUGACAUUAAUGGUGAUAAAACUGUUUCUUCUGCACAGAUUGUUGGACCCAAGCCAGAAGCUCCUGCAAAGCCCCCUUCCAGACCUGUGGAUAAUUACAACACCUUUGUACUGCCAGAGUUGCCAUCGGUGCCAGACACACUUCCAACUGCAUCUGCUGGAGCCAGCACCUCAGCAUCAGAAGACAUAGACUUUGAUGAUCUUUCCCGGAGAUUUGAGGAACUGAAAAAGAAAACAUAGGUCUCUUAAACCAGGCAGCAUCCACAUUCUGGAAGUUGAUAGUGAACAGUUCUCCGUGUAACAGUGACUCUCCAUGAAAUUCCGUUUCCUCUGUUAACCGUCACUGAGCACUCUUCCUCGGGGCUCUCUGCUGCUCUACCAAUUGUGUUGCUUUCCACUUCUUCAGUGAUUCUUCAGUGAUCCUGAGAGACUAACAGCUGGAGACUCUAGCUGGAGCAGUUGGCUCCUAUUGGCUGUGUUUGCCUGUCUGUCUUCCUGUCACGUGGAUCCUUGGUUCUUUCCCGGCCAUUCCAUUCCCAGGGAGUGAGAAGUAUUGUGGGUAGAGUUGCCAAAGAUGGCUGGACCAUGGAAGAGAGUACCCUAUGAUGGGUUUCAACCUUGACUCGUAAAUACUUCCCUCUGCAUGGGGGUGAUCGUAGAGAGAAUCAAGGCUACCAUGUGUUUUCUCAUGAGUCAGAAGAUGGCUCAGGAAGCCACUGUCACGGUUCCUGGAGGCUGGGCCCUCUCAUUGACAUGUACACUACUCCUCGCUGCAGGGCACUGUUCCACCUGGAUCCAGUUGCAAAGUUUGGAAAAGUUCUCUUAGUUUUACUGGAUUCUCAGGGAGCCCUCUGUGGCCUUUUCCUUUAUUUUGAGUGCUGUUUCCUUUUUAGGAAAGAACAGCACUGUGGAAAUUUGCUUUUCCCCAUAGCAUGUUAGGAAGGAAGUACAGGUCGUUACCUAAGCUAGCGUGGGCUUCCAGUUGCCUUAAUAGAAGUACUCAAGUCUCUUGGGUAGAGAUCUGGAAGCCUGCAGGAGAGGAGGGGUACUUGUUUUCAUUGGAAAACUUUUAUGAUUAAGGGACUCUUUACAAACUGGCAUCUUAAGUUUUAGUGCCAUGUCGCUGUAGUCUGCUGCUUUCCUGGGUGGAUGAACCUCUUUAUUAUGGUAACUUCUGUGCUGCUUUGCCCCUAGCCAAGGCUCUCCUUCCCCAAGAGGUUAGCUUUGGCAUUGGAAGAUGAGAUUUUUGCUUACCUGUAGUAUUUCUGUACAUACCUGUUUCCAGCAACUUCAGUGUCAAUGUUUUUGAUUUAUUUGUGUCUUAUAGCUCUAGCUGCUAAUAAAGAUCCCAUGUCCUGCUUUCUCUA
Molecule: RNA transcript, 3460 nt
Organism: Mus musculus (house mouse)
Lineage: Eukaryota; Metazoa; Chordata; Mammalia; Rodentia; Muridae
Gene: Ist1
Gene name: increased sodium tolerance 1 homolog (yeast)
Exons: 10
Source: RefSeq, marked validated